UUGGCAGCUGUAUAUAUUAUUAGCUUUAAUUGGCUAACAUGAUUCCAUACUAUACAUGCAGCUGAGGCAGCUACUGUUGAUGGGAGGAGCGGAUAUAAUGGCUACGGCGGUGGAGGCUACCACGGCGGUGGAGGCUACCACGGCGGUGGUGGUUACCACGGCGGUGGAGGUUACCACGGCGGUGGAGGUUACCAUGGUGGUGGUGGCCAUGGCGGUGGUGGGUGCAGUCACGGAUACUGCCGUUAUAGGUGCUGCAACUAUGCAGGUGAGGUGGUGGACGCAGAGACUACCGGAGUCAAGCCUCAAAACUAGAGGAGUGUUUUGAUCUGACGAUGCAUGCAUGUACUCUAGUCUAUGAUAUAUAGUAUGGAAAGUAUAUAUAUAUAUAUACUACUUCUUCAUAGAAUGUAGUAUAUAUAAAAUAAAAGCAUGCAUGAUCAUUCAAUAUAUGUUUAGCAGCACUGAUAUCAUUUGGAUUAAUGAUGGCCGUGCUACUAAAUUUUCCUUUAAAAUGUUGGACUGGAUUGUGUAUAUGCUUGGUUUUCAUCUUGUAAAAUCACAUUAAAGUGAUUAUAUGAAUGUAAGGGGUGCUAUUUGUGUUUCAUAAUAUGUUUUAGCAGUAAUUAAAGUGUUUAAAAAUGGAAAAUGGUAUAUCCUCCUACUUUUUUGUCCCAACAUUUCAGCUGACUACAAAGCUGAGAAUUAAAUCUUCUAAAACUGUAAAUGCAGUUAGCAUGAAUUUU
This 743-nucleotide long non-coding RNA is filed under the name Panax ginseng (ginseng). RNAcentral's name for it is "long non-coding RNA (PGIN_LNC019081)". The record is from RNAcentral. Lineage: Eukaryota; Viridiplantae; Streptophyta; Magnoliopsida; Apiales; Araliaceae.